UACUGCUGAGUGAGCCACAGGCUC
This 24-nucleotide non-coding RNA is filed under the name Mus musculus (house mouse). The record is from RNAcentral. Lineage: Eukaryota; Metazoa; Chordata; Mammalia; Rodentia; Muridae.